Molecule: ribosomal RNA, 467 nt
Filed under: uncultured bacterium
Lineage: Bacteria
Description: partial 16S ribosomal RNA
Rfam family: Bacterial small subunit ribosomal RNA
Source: RNAcentral
GACGAACGCUGGCGGCGUGCUUAACACAUGCAAGUCGAACGGCAAGGCCUCUUUCGGGGGGUACUCGAGUGGCCAACGGGUGAGUAACACGUGAGUAACCUGCCCUUGACUUUGGGAUAACUUCAGGCAACUGGGGCUAAUACCUGAUAGGACCUCCUGCUGCAUGGUGGGGGUUGGAAAGUUUCGGCGGUUGGGGAUGGACUCGCGGCGUAUCCGCUUGUUGGGGGGGUAGUGGCUUACCAAGGCUUUGACGGGUAGCCGGCCUGAGAGUGUGAGCGGCAGCAUUGGGACUGAGAUGAGGCCCAGACGGCUAAGGGAGGCAGAAGGGGGGAAGAUUGCACAAUGGGUAGAAGCCUGAUGCAGCAGAGCUGUGUGCGGGAUGACGGCUUUCGGGGUGUAAACCGCCUUCGCUCAUGAAGAAGCUUUGUGUGACGGUAGUGGGUAAAGAAGCACCGGCUAACUACGUG